Molecule: RNA transcript, 2458 nt
Organism: Diospyros lotus (date-plum)
Lineage: Eukaryota; Viridiplantae; Streptophyta; Magnoliopsida; Ericales; Ebenaceae
Exons: 14
Source: RefSeq, a predicted model, not a curated record
CUUAAACCAAAAGCAGCAAAACCAUCUAGACUUCAUGCUUCAUUGAAUCCCAGUGCUUCCUUCCCUCUCUGCCUCCAGCGUUCCUUUCCGUUCCGGAAACAUCUACUAGGGUUCUUCUCCGAGGACUAAGAUCACGCCGCCGGUACGCCUUGCUCUCGCCGACGGUGUUCCGUUCACUGCUUGCAGAAGUACUCCAAAUCCUACAGUAGUUGCAAUAGUUCGUCCCCUCUCCAAAAAGAAAGGAAAUGGAAGCUAAGUUGUCGAAUUUCAUUGAUCAAUAUGUGGUUCCGGGUGAUGUAGUUUUGGAUCUCUCGAGUAUGGCCAAUCAAACCAUCAAGCUUGGUGGUGGUCUUCAUCAGGAAGGUGAUGUCAUUUCUGUCAUCAAGGCUGGGACGCUAAGAUUUCUUAAGCCAAACAAAUAUUGGGUAGAGAGCUCCCAAAAAAGAUAUGUACCUUGCGUGGGGGAUAAUGUUCUUGGCAUUGUAGUAGACUCUAAAGCAGAUAACUUUCUUGUGGACAUAAAAGGGUCGACCUUUGCAUUCCUUCCUGUACUUGCAUUUGAAGGAGGAACAAGAAGAAACAUACCCAAGUUUGAGGUAGGUACUUUGCUCUAUGUUCGGGUUGUGAAGGCAAAUACGAGCAUGAAUCCCGAGCUGUCAUGCACUGAUGCCACUGGGAAAGCUGCAGAGUAUGGCGCCCUCAAGGAUGGCUAUAUGUUUGAAACAUCUACUGGCCUUGCAAGAAUGCUGCUCAGUUCUCCUACAUGCCCGGUUCUUGAAGCUCUUGGAAAGAAGCUCGCAUUUGAGAUAGCCGUUGGCUUAAAUGGCCGUGUUUGGGUGAACGCGGAGGCUCCAUCGACAGUCAUCCUUGUAUCAAAUGCAAUCAUGAAUUCUGAGUCUCUGAGCAAGGCGCAGCAAAAGAUUAUGGUGGAUAGACUGCUCCAUCACAAAUAUGCUGAUGGGAAAUCCUGAAAAGAGCAGUGAGAGGGUUGAAUCCAACUCAAGGGAGGUGAUUGCAGGAAGCUAGAUAAGAUAUUUGAGAAGCUCAUGGCAUGGUGAUUGGUGCGUCUUAAAGAUUCUCCAAUGUAUUUGGAACGUCAAGGAUUUAGGCUUUGGAAGAGGCAUUCCUAGUACAUGAAGCUCCCCGUUUUCUGAGGGUUGGAAAAGGAUGUAUUUGGAAUUUUGGACUGAAAUGGGAAGAAUAUUUGGCCAUAGAGAUGGUUGGAACGUAAUAUCAAAGCGAUUGAGGCUUCUCCGCAAGAGAUCCUUUUGCACAAGUAACAGCAACAACGAGAAGAAAGGUGAUGGGUCUGUGAGCACUUAUGACGACGCUUAUCAUCAGCUUGACAAGCUUGACUUCAUGACUGCCUCUAAGAUUCUCUUCACCACUCCUCCGAAGAAGAAAAAGUUUGGGUAGUUGACCAUGCUAAUUGUGAUUUUAGUUGAUGAUUUGAGCUUCUUUUAGGCAUUUUUGGGGAACAUGUUUGCUUCAUUUUCUCUGAUAUGUUGAAGUUAUGUUUUUGCCUCAUUAAAGGCCUACUAGAUCUGUGGUUAUGUAGUUGGAUUUCAUUGUUUAAGAUUAUGUGUGCACUUAAUCUUGAUCAUUAAAAUAUAAAAACUUGUCAAAGAUGUCAUUUUCUUAAUUUGUUUGUGCUCAAUUUCAAGAUGUCAUGACAAGAUUUGUUUUUCUCAAUUAGACUUUGCAAUCCAUUUAAUUAUCCUUUUGCAAUCCUGUUACGUACUUUUGUCCUUUCUUAAUCUGAUGGUCCACAUCUUCUAUGCAUAAAAUAUAUGUGCCCAUUUCUUACAUCAGGGAAUGGACCACUCUACAAAGACUUGGUAUGAGGAUGUUUAUUUUUGGCUAUUUGUUUCUUGCUGAACGGUAAAAUAAAAUCUUUUUGGACAGUUUAUUAAUCAUUCUAACACAGUCAAUCUAUCUGCAGUAUUAUGAAGAAAGAUUUUUAUGGUACUUGAGAACUAGGAUUCGGUUUCCUGGUGAACAUGUGUUCUUUGGUUGUUGCAUGCAUGUGAAACAUCAUGGCGGAGAGUUUAUAUCCAUGCCAUAGCAAGUGCCUUGGGAACCCAAAUCUUGAAGUGGAAAUGGACUCUUGAAUUUAUUGAGGUGUAUCUAGGUGGUUUACAUUUGAAUGAUUGAAAUUUAUUAAAGUGUGUGUUGAUCGCUUAUUAUUUGCUGUCACUGUUCCCGUUUUACUUUUGGAUAGCAGUUUCUAGAGCAUAUUCUUACAUGUUUCUCUUCUUGGUCAGGAUUGAUUUUCAUCUUGUACAAUUCUUCUUUGCCUGCAUGCCUUCAUUGGGUAUCUCUGCUCACUGAUGCAUGGUAUACUGUGAUUUCGAGAUGACUUUUGGUCUGGCCCUGCUAUUACUAAAAUAUUUUUCAUGUAACAGCUGUGUAUUUGGUGGCUCAAUAUGCUCGCUAUGAAAUGAGAAAAAUGGAGGCG